This 199-nucleotide ribosomal RNA is filed under the name Clostridium botulinum. RNAcentral describes it as "partial 16S ribosomal RNA". It matches the Rfam family "Bacterial small subunit ribosomal RNA", at positions 1 to 197 of the family's 1533-position model. The record is from RNAcentral. Lineage: Bacteria; Bacillati; Bacillota; Clostridia; Eubacteriales; Clostridiaceae.
UAAAUUUAGAGUUUGAUCCUGGCUCAGGACGAACGCUGGCGGCGUGCUUAACACAUGCAAGUCGAGCGAUGAAACUUCCUUCGGAAAGUGGAUUAGCGGCGGACGGGUGAGUAACACGUGGGUAACCUGCCUCAAAGUGGGGGAUAGCCUUCCGAAAGGAAGAUUAAUACCGCAUAAUAUAAGAGAAUCGCAUGAUUUU